Long non-coding RNA from Suricata suricatta (meerkat), 1505 nucleotides. RefSeq lists it as uncharacterized. The transcript is spliced from 4 exons. Lineage: Eukaryota; Metazoa; Chordata; Mammalia; Carnivora; Herpestidae. The record is from RefSeq and is a predicted model, not a curated record.
GGAUUUUGAUACAGUGGCAGCUGGGAAGCCAAGAACAGAAAGCCUUUAAUCCGUGCAACCUAAUGCCAAGAUUCCGCCAGAGAGAGCCCAUUUCCUGCGCUGUCUGCACAUUCCUCCCAUUCUUCCCGAGCACCUUCUCCCAGUGACCCCUCUCCAUGCAGCCUCUGUUCUCCCCCCACGGCUAACUGCUCCUUUCUUCUAGAAAACAAGUCCUGUGGCCAGAAGGAUUCCAUAUACUUCUGCUUUCUCUUCGAGAUCCCCAGGUCCUUAGGAGCUUUUCCUUUCUCCUCCGGAUGCUUCGUUUGGCCUCUGCCACACACCAGGGCAUCGCCGGGAUGCGCGGGGACAAAGCAUCGUAGCCACUUUUAAGGUCCCUGCCCAGACCACGACUCUCGGAACCGUUGGCCAUACCAGCAGAGUGAGGCCCCAACACUGUGUUUAUACUUCGUGACCCCAGACGUGGACUGUAGGUGACUGCACAAGAGAUGGACAGCUGUCCAGGGUGAAGAUGUCAAAUGUACGUCUCUCUGGGGACCUCCAAGUGGUCUGUCGGGACCACGGUUCCUCCUCCUCACUCCUCAGUCCCCCACAACACGGGCACCAGCGACACCUGCAUGUCAUCCCACCUGCCUGCCACUGCGGCUGCAUCGCAGGAAUUUCCACCCAGUCGUGACCUUCUCUCCUCAGACCACUACCUCUGCUGCUGCCCGGGCCUGGUACAUUGGACCCCCAGUGAAUCUCUGUUGUGCUUCCAGUUUGGGUUUUGGCUUUGGGGAGGGAGUGGUGGACAAGGGGCAGGUGCCUGUUGGGACCAGCGAAGCCCAGGAAGCAGGCUUGAACCCCUGAGCACUCUCGCCGCUGCCGCUCGGGGGCUGGGCGGGGAUGGCGGGACCAUCCAGCAGGUCCUCCAGGGUAGGCCGGGCUACAGGGGUCCUGGCGCAUGACUGCGUCUCAGCCCUGCCAGCGCAGCAGCAGUCUCUCACUGCCAUGGCCGUGUCCGCACAAUAGCGGAGAGGCUAGGCGGAAAAUCGAUACAGAAUAACUUUUCCUAAUUCCAUUUUGCACCGGCAUCAGUGAGCCCCAGGACGGUUUGCGGCGUCAUUCAGAGAGCACUCCUGCCACUCCAAGGCAGGAGGCGGAGGCGGACUCACCUGGGACCUUGUCAGGAGGAGAAUCUCAGUCCCUGCCCAGGACCUAAUGAAUUCAAAUCUGCAUUUUAAGACCCCCAGAGAUCCGUGCAGACAUUUCAAGUUAGAGGAGCUCUGGUUCAGGAAUGCCGGUGUCCUAACCAACUAAGCAGCUGCCGCGAUUUCUCAUCACCGGCCACGGUGAAGACGUCGGUGUGAGAUGCGUCCUUUCUCUCCGUAAGCGCUGCCUUCCGCUGAUGAUGUUCCUUUCCAUCUGGCAUUAAAAAUGUGCUUUGCUUUAGGAAGAGUGAUUCUGAGUAUAGUUUUGUUCGGUUCUUACCCAUGUCUUCUGUAGGCAAAAUAAAACGUAGUUACUGA